CAUCAGAACGUUAUUGAAAAAGGGGGAGAUAGUAAAGGCUGGAAAUUAUCUCUACUCAUAUAAAAAGCACACUUGAUGGUGAUGGUGUGCCUGCCAUCUAGCAAUUCCGACCAUCCGAUCGACGUCUAACGCAUCAAAAGUGAUGUUGGCACUUUAGCAAAGAGACGCCCGCUAGUCUCCCUCUUCCAGACCGAUCCAGAUCCAUCCACAUCCAAUGCCUCGUCUCUACAGCGGGAGCCACCACCACCACAAUCUCCCCUCCACCGCCUCCUUUCCCGUCUCCGACACUGCUAACAACCAGAAGUACGGUGCCAACGUCGUCGGUUCCUCAACGCCUCCCAUGCCUUCUCCUCUACCGCAGCAGUCCGCCACCUACCAUCACACCAGCUCCCCCCUCCUCCUCACCGUCUCCUCCAGCCCCCUCCCCCAUCUCCUCCGAUGCCACCCGCUACAAGUGCGUUGACGGCUGCGCGCUGCUAAUCCACGGCGGCGGUGCCAUCAAAUACUACCGAUUCACCUCGCCGUCGGCCAUCCCUGCCACCCCGCUCAUGUGCUCGUCAGCAAGGUGAAGCGGCCGGAGAUUUGGGCCAACAUUGAUGACCGAGAUAGGGCCAUGCCGAGCUGCGAACCAGCAGCGAGGAGGCUCCUCCGGCACUCGCGGCAUACACGACACGGGGCGAGCGACGUACACGGCGAGUCGGCUCCCCUGGCGCUUGAUUCAACGGCAUCGUACACAGCGGUUGGCGGCCCUCACUAUCACUGCCGACCUGCAGCGUGUCAUCGGAAGCUAGCAGCACUGCGUUCGCUCACGGGCACCAUCGGCGGCGUCGACGCGUGCGUCCGACCGCGUGAGCUGCAGGUGGAUAGCAGGAGCGAGAGCAUGCUUUGCUUCUGAAAAUGGUCCACAAGUUCUUGAAUCAAUGCAAUAUCCCAUGGGUACAUUUGAUCUGGGAAUCUUAUUACCAGAAUAGCCUGCCCCCUGGUGAGAAUGCCCAAUGCUCAUUUUGGUGGAAGGAUUGUCUGAAGCUGCUGGACACCUACAAGUUACAUUCUUCCUGUACUCCUGGUUCAGGCAAGUCAAUCUUGUUUUGGAAGGAUAAUUGGGCUGGGAAUACAUUGAAUUCUCAAUGGCCACAGCUGGCCUCCUUUGCCCUGAAUCCUCACAUGUCUCUGCAUCAGAUCAUCAAUAUUGAGGACACUUCAUCACUAUUUCAUUUACCUUUUUCAGUGGAAGCCUUCGAACAAUAUCAGGAGAUGCUUGGUCUGCUGCAAAACUUCCCCACUCUGGAUCAAAAUGAUACUUGGCGAUUCCCUUCCGGUGUAACGUCCUAUGCUGUGUCAAAUACAUACAUAAUUCUUAUGGGGGAAUUUCAUACCAUCCCUGCCAUCUCCUGGUUAUGGAAAGCUAAUUGCUCUUAGUUGAAGCACAAGAUUUUCUUCUGGCUUCUCAUCAAUGACAGACUAAAUACUAGAGGGAUGCUCCUGAGGAAGAGUUUCUUCAUUGACGACUACUCUAGGCACACCCUACUGAACUGAUACCAGUGACCCAUGUUCAUCAAAUUGAUUUACACUCUUCUGUAUGGGAGCUUGGACGAAAGGAUUUAUCAUUUGGAAACAUUAUGUUUGAUUGUGCUCUUUAUAUACCCAUCGACAAUAUAACAUCACUUGAUCAAUGUC
This is a long non-coding RNA of Triticum aestivum (bread wheat), 1677 nucleotides long. RefSeq lists it as uncharacterized. The record is from RefSeq and is a predicted model, not a curated record. The transcript has 2 exons. Lineage: Eukaryota; Viridiplantae; Streptophyta; Magnoliopsida; Poales; Poaceae.